This 484-nucleotide ribosomal RNA is filed under the name uncultured bacterium. Its description in RNAcentral is "partial 16S ribosomal RNA". It matches the Rfam family "Bacterial small subunit ribosomal RNA", at positions 30 to 507 of the family's 1533-position model. The record is from RNAcentral.
AUUGAACGCUGGCGGCAGGCCUAACACAUGCAAGUCGAGCGGAUGAAGGGAGCUUGCUCCUGGAUUCAGCGGCGGACGGGUGAGUAAUGCCUAGGAAUCUGCCUGGUAGUGGGGGAUAACGUCCGGAAACGGGCGCUAAUACCGCAUACGUCCUGAGGGAGAAAGUGGGGGAUCUUCGGACCUCACGCUAUCAGAUGAGCCUAGGUCGGAUUAGCUAGUUGGUGGGGUAAAGGCCUACCAAGGCGACGAUCCGUAACUGGUCUGAGAGGAUGAUCAGUCACACUGGAAGUGAGACACGGUCCAGACUCCGACGGGAGGCAGAAGUGGGGAAUAUUGGACGAUGGGCGAAAGCCUGAUCCAGCCAUGCAGCGUGUGUGAAGAAGGUCUUCGGAUUGUAAAGCACUUUAAGUUGGGAGGAAGGGUAGUAAGUUAAUACCUUGCUGUUUUGACGUUACCAACAGAAUAAGCACCGGCUAACUUCGUG